CCAAUAGCGUAUAUUAAAGUUGUUGCAGUUAAAAAGCUCGUAGUUGAAUUUCGGGAUUGACGUGAUGGUCGUGUCUUAAGGGGUAUGAACUGUUGCAGUCAAUUUCUCACCUUCUGGAGAAAUUUGAUGUCCUUUAUUGGGUGUCAUACGGAACCAGAACUUUUACCUUGAAAAAAUUAGAGUGUUUAAAGCAGGCAUAUUGCUCGAAUACAUUAGCAUGGAAUAAUAAAAUAGGACGGCAUGAUUCUAUUUUGUUGGUUUCUAGGAUCACCGUAAUGAUUAAUAGGGAUAGUUGGGGGCAUUAGUAUUCAAUUGUCAGAGGUGAAAUUCUUGGAUUUAUUGAAGACUAACUACUGCGAAAGCAUUUGCCAAGGAUGUUUUCAUUAAUCAAGAACGAAAGUUAGGGGAUCGAAGACGAUCAGAUACCGUCGUAGUCUUAACCAUAAACUAUGCCGACUAGGAAUCAGACGAUGUUAAUUUUUUAAUGACUCGUUUGGCACCUUACG
This 506-nucleotide ribosomal RNA is filed under the name uncultured Glomeromycotina. RNAcentral's name for it is "partial small subunit ribosomal RNA". It matches the Rfam family "Eukaryotic small subunit ribosomal RNA", at positions 591 to 1092 of the family's 1831-position model. Lineage: Eukaryota; Fungi; Glomeromycota. The record is from RNAcentral.